This 300-nucleotide unclassified non-coding RNA is filed under the name Xylonomycetes sp. RNAcentral's name for it is "partial contains internal transcribed spacer 1". Lineage: Eukaryota; Fungi; Ascomycota; Xylonomycetes. The record is from RNAcentral.
AAGUCGUAACAAGGUUUCCGUAGGUGAACGGUCUUUGCAGGUUCGCCAGAAUUAAAAGUCUGCUGAGCAGGCAACAUCUCUACUGUGCUAGGAUUUACUGUUAAAGUAAUACCAGCAGCCUAGACGAGGCUCACAGAUCAAAUGGAGAUGGCCCUAAUGGGUUGAGAGUUGAUCGGGGGGUUGCUAUAAGUAGCAGCUAUACUUUCCGCUGCGGAAGGAUCAUUACCGAGAAAAUGCCCUUUAGGGUAUAUCUCCCACCCUUUGUUUACAAUACUAUUGUUGCUUUGGCAGGCCCGUCUU